This 71-nucleotide transfer RNA is filed under the name Marmota monax (woodchuck). RNAcentral describes it as "tRNA.Ala". The record is from RNAcentral. Lineage: Eukaryota; Metazoa; Chordata; Mammalia; Rodentia; Sciuridae.
GGGGUUGUGGCUCAGAGGUAGAUCACUUGCCUAGCAUGUGUGAGGUACUGGGUUCGAUCCCCAGCACCACA